Papaver somniferum (opium poppy) is the source of this 2081-nucleotide long non-coding RNA. RefSeq lists it as uncharacterized. The record is from RefSeq and is a predicted model, not a curated record. The transcript has 5 exons. NCBI's taxonomy places the organism in Eukaryota, Viridiplantae, Streptophyta, Magnoliopsida, Ranunculales, Papaveraceae.
UCGAUUCUCUUAUAUCUUAUUCCUUCUCAUCUCUCAGCCCAAAUCAUUUCUAAUUCACCUUCUUGCUCUCGAUCCCACCUCUUUCAUAAAAAAUAAAUAAAUAUUCGAUCUAUGUUUUCAAAUCGUUCAAAUGAAAACCUAGGUUUUUCAUCACUGCCUACUGCAUCUUUUGGAUGACUAUCUAUCAAAUUCAAAACCAAAACCUAACCCCUAGCCAUAGAUUUACUUUAAAUAGAUGUAACGUUUUUGAUGAACGGGUAGAUCUGGCUUAGAUUUACUAUCUUGUUUCUGAUUUUGGGUUGUAGCUGUUGAUAUUUAUGAAAGGGGAUAAUCUAAUUGAUGUAUUGGUGGUUCUAAAGCUUCAAUAGAUGUUCUGCAAUUAAUUGUGGUGGUUAUGGAUGUGAUGAUCUGUAUUCAGAGUUAUGGAGAGCUUGUGCUGGUCCUCUUGUUGAUGUUCUAAAAAUUAGUCAAAGGGUUUAUCACUUCCCUCAAGGUCAUAUGGAGCAAGUAAGACUCAUCAUCCCUAAACUGAUACGUAUUGAUCUUGGUUUUAUAGGUAGAAGCAUCAACAAAUGAAGAAUUAGUUCUUAGAGAAUUAUUGGCUGAACAAGAAACCGAUGAAGUGUAUGCAAGACUGACUUUGCAACCAGAAGAUGAUGAAUGGAAUCAAUCAAUCUCUCAUUGAAGUGUUUUCUUCUUUUGUUGUGUUUGAUUUACUUGUAAGCUUUUUGUUUGUUGUUUCUGUGUUUUCGUUGCAUUUUAGCCGAAUGAACCUAGUAGUCCUGAUCCAUGUACACAAGAACCACCAAGAGAGGGUGUUCAAUCUUUUUGCAAUAUUUUGACUGCUUCUGAUACUAGUACCGAUAGAGGGUUCUCCGUUCUUCGGAAACAUGCUAAUGAAAGUUUACCUCCGUGGUAAUACUUGUUUCAUUUCAUUUUCACUCUUAUGUUUCUGUUUUUUGUCUAGUCUGGAUCUAAUUCUGCGAGUUUUGUUUUCACGUUUUGUAGGAUAUGACCCAAGCGGCACCAACUCAGGAAUACAUCCUUUCCUUUUUACCAUGUUUUAAUGUGUCACCUAAUUAUUUCACAGGGUCCAGUAGGCUAAAGCCGCUAAAAUGCUACUGAUACAAGAGAUCCGCAUUGUCUUAGGGAGAGGGUAUCGCGGUCGAGAGCGAAGAAUGGGAAUUUGCAUGUUGGAGUAAGGCGUCAUGCUAUGAAAGGAAGCAAUAUGCCCUCACCUGAUUUACAUGCAAUCUGGAAUGUUUGUCUUGCUCCUGCAUUUGGACAUAAAGUUUUAUUUGAAAAAAUAUGAAGAACUUAUCGCUAUCCUUAACCUUCUUUCGAGACUGGUUCCCUUAAACACGGUAAUAUCAUUUACAUUAAGCUGAUUUGUACGUUACUAGAUGUCAUCAAAUUCUAUGCUGAACUCAGUUCCUUACUGGUUUGCACUUGCUCAAAGUUGUAUUGGUCCUACUGGAUCAUAUAUUCAUUAUUUCUGUUGAAAAGGGGAAUUCUAGAAGAUAAUCCUUGUGUUCAUUCUGCCUUUCGAUUCAAAAAAAAAAGAUUUAUGUCAUAAGCCACUUCUUCUUAGGUAAUUUCGAUUCAAAAGAUGAAGCCUUUUGCCUUGGUUCUAAUGGUACCUGUUAGAUGUUAUAUUUUUUUUUGUUUUGACAUAUAAUUAGGUAUCAUGUUUCUCACUUUUAUAAUUAACAUGAGAUAGGUGAUAGUUAUAGGUUCAUCUUCAUAUGAAGCUAAAGCACAAUAACUUGAGAUGAAACAGUCAUGUUUGCUUACAACAAAGCACUUGUAUACUUUGAACUUAUCUUGUUCUUCGUGUCUUCAUUAGAAAAGUUAAUGUAUUGUUUUUCUUGUGUUUACAUGAAAGUAUGCUCGACAAGUAACUGGCCAGCUCUCAUGGUUAAUACUUCUACAAGUCCAGGCUCACCAAUGGUUCCAUGUUUUAUUUUGGUUUGAACUGAAUUGUUUCAUUUUUUUGUUUGUAUUUUUUGGUAGUUUCUAUAUCAGAAUGUAUACUUUUCAGAUUUCUAUAAUAUGCAAUUUUUUUCACACUUGGAACCUGA